Molecule: long non-coding RNA, 2006 nt
Organism: Sycon ciliatum
Lineage: Eukaryota; Metazoa; Porifera; Calcarea; Leucosolenida; Sycettidae
Exons: 3
Source: RefSeq, a predicted model, not a curated record
CACACAAGUGUGCUUUUUCUCUCAAGAUGAUGCUAAUUAUGAUGCCGCAACGCGGGCGUUCAUCUGUAACGUGGCUUCCUCGUGGAUUGUAAGCAGAUGGUGUUUUCUGCCAUGAAGACGACCACUAUCAGUACUCGUACAAUACGAAUAGCUGCGAUGGUUGAAAUGAAGAUCAUCGUUGCUUAGACUUAUUCUUCAUUUCUGGAGUAUGCCGGUCUACUGCCUGGUGAAAAUUAUUAUUUUACCUGGCCCAGUUGAUAGUUAUAAGCUUCCCUGUACCAGGCUGGAGCAAUACCAUUAACUUAAAUAACGACGGGUCAGUGUCGCACACUCUAUCCAUUCUGUGGAUUGGGUUUAGGUCGACAGCAGAGAAGGCAUCCAUUGGAAGAUGAUCGAUCACCAGGGCACUCGUUGGCACCACCGCCCUGCUAGUUGCUAUCAGUGUGCUAUGUACUGGAUCCUCCGCUGAUAUGCUGGCAAACUGCAUUCCAGAAGAUGGAGAUAUACAGACCUAUGAAAAUAGGAUCUACAUCCGGCCCAAAGUUGACCCGGCACCAGUUACGUUGAGUUUGCGUAACGCAAAACUCUACAACAAGACGUUCGCCUUCACAUCACCGUGCUAUUUGUUAUUCAAAGCGAUCUCACUGAUGUACUAUGGAUCAUGCUCCGUAGCAGUGAGUUAUGGCAGUGAUAACAGAUUUCUUGAGACUCUUGACUUUCCAAUACGGCCAAAGCGUAUGUGGUUUACUGCACAGGAAAGCUUAACGCAAUCUGCUACCCGAAGCUCCACGAACACAUGAAAGGGAGUAAAAGAAGGAAGUUGAUGAUAUCCAUUUCUGCCAGAGACGAGAAUUGUAUCAUAUACAAAGUGGAGAACAGUUACCCAGUAAGAGGAUUGGCCAUAAUUGCCCAGGUAAUCCCGAAACAAGCUGAAACAAGCACUGCUCCCAGCCAUACUGUAACCACAAGUCAAUCUUCUACCCGUUCCACACAGAAGCCGACUGCCUCUACACUAACAGCUCCAGUUACAACUGCCUCUUCAGUCCAAACUCCAGUUACGAACACUGCAAUAGUGGGGUCAACUAGCACCGUGGACACCUAUGUUACUCAGGUGAAGACAUCGACUCCCGCAACCACCCUAGUGGAACAGCUUGAAGAUGAGCCAGGCGGAUUUAGUUUGGUUACCACCGUUGUAAUUCCUUUGGUUGUACUUUCUGUUCUCCUGAGCGUUUUUAUUCUGCUGGUACUAGUUCGGUCAGGAACCUUUCUUUCAGAGAGUAGUCAACCGUGGAUCAUCGCUAUUCGUAAAUCGACAGUCCCGCAAAAUAGGCCAGACCCGAUAAAUCAGUUUUACGAGAAUCACAACGGUCCUGACGGCGUUGCCCAGGGACCUACGGCAGAACUGACGGAUCUGGGUCUGUACUCGGCCGUUGGACCUGGUUACAGCCAUCCAACCAACCGUCCCUAGACACCUCCUGAUAUAGCUGCUGCCCUUUAUGCCAGUUGUGCGGAGAAUGAGACUUACACUUAUGCUACCCGUGAUGGUGCUGCGCCAACGAGUUAUGUCAACACGGAAACGAAGCAGAAAGAUGCUGGUGAGCCAUACGCCAGCGUGCAGUCUAUGUUUGAUCAAUCAAUCGAGGACGUCCAUUCACAACCUAAAAGCCAGGAUAUAGAGACAGCCAGACAGGAAGCCGAAGAAGCCCCAGCCGUCUGCUACUCAGUUCCCCACAAGGCGGAUACGACAGAUGUUCGCAGACCUUACGAAAACGCAGAGGAGUGCACGGCUACUAAGCGUGAUGAACAACCCCGCACUACACAAUCAAUCGACCACAUAUGUCGUGCUACGGAUGUAACAUCACGUAGCGUCUUAUCGAGGUCCGCGCAAUCCGCCGUACAUAACCAGGAGAAGUGUAUCAAUCCAGAUGAUGUGGAGCGCAAAAAACGCCGUGGUCUGAGCGACGCAACAACAGUAGUAUGCCGCGAUACCAACACCACCACCACUA